Molecule: ribosomal RNA, 434 nt
Filed under: uncultured Lachnospiraceae bacterium
Lineage: Bacteria; Bacillati; Bacillota; Clostridia; Lachnospirales; Lachnospiraceae
Description: partial 16S ribosomal RNA
Rfam family: Bacterial small subunit ribosomal RNA
Source: RNAcentral
ACGGGAGGCAGCAGUGGGGAAUAUUGCACAAUGGGGGAAACCCUGAUGCAGCGACGCCGCGUGAGUGAAGAAGUAUUUCGGUAUGUAAAGCUCUAUCAGCAGGGAAGAAAAUGACGGUACCUGACUAAGAAGCCCCGGCUAACUACGUGCCAGCAGCCGCGGUAAUACGUAGGGGGCAAGCGUUAUCCGGAUUUACUGGGUGUAAAGGGUGCGCAGGCGGCCUGCUAAGUCUCCGGUGAAAUGUCAGGGCUCAACCUUGGCACUGCCGGAGAUACUGGCGGGCUUGAGAGUGGCGGACGUCGCCGGAAUGUGUGGUGUAGCGGUGAAAUGCAUAGAUAUCACACAGAACACCGAUUGCGAAGGCAGGAGACCAUACCAUAUCUGACGCUCAGGCACGAAAGCGUGGGGAUCGAACAGGAUUAGAUACCCUAGUA